Molecule: long non-coding RNA, 1297 nt
Filed under: Equus caballus (horse)
Lineage: Eukaryota; Metazoa; Chordata; Mammalia; Perissodactyla; Equidae
Description: lncRNA (ENSECAG00000044501.1)
Source: RNAcentral
UGUCACCCUGAGCUAAUGUCUUAAGGAAGAACAAUUAUUCUUAACAAAUGCUGGAUUCAUCUCCAAAGUUAGAGCAAGACCUUAAAUGGGAAUGUAAGAAAUAAUUCACUGACUGGGAGGAUCAUCAUCACUUCCAAGGUGACUACCUUGUGUUCAGGGAGUAGAGGGAAAUCCAGAAGCAGGAGGAGAUAUGGUCCUUUCCCACAGGGAGAGUCUAGUCCCGUGGACUGAGGUGGGAUGCCACUCAAGGCACAAGGACUAAGUUGAAGAAAGACAAGGACAGACCAGGAGGCACUUUACAGAGCUCCAGAGGUCCUUUAUGGGUAUGUCAAGACAUCUAUCUUAGAUUUAAGUUUCUGCUACUGAGGAGAUUGGGCCUACCUGUGGAUGCCUUUGUACAGUGGCCAACACUUGCCAGACUAAUUGCUUCCUGAGCUAGGAAGAGCGUCCAGACAGAGACCUAGGAAGUUUGAUAUAUUGGGAUCCUUCAACUGCCGGGAUUCCAGAUGAUAAAUAAACUGCACGGUGGAAUUUGAAUCAACCUAUUCAGAGACUUGAGAGGAGUAAGAGGGGAUGCCCAGACUGGAAGACAUCAGUGAGGAUGAACACGAGGAAGUGAAGACCAUUAACGGUAUACAAUUAGCCAAAGAAGGGCAUCAGGCAAGGUAAGCCUCCGGGAAGGUAAGCCUUGGCUUGGGAACUAAGCAGAGAUGGCUGAUCAUUCACAUUUUGACAAGCUGUCCUUUUACUGGCCCAGGAGAGCUGCUUAGGUGAAGUGAGGAAAGUACAGACCGCAGGAAGAAUGAGGAACAGACUAUUUAGUAGUUUGAGGGAAAUCAAGGCCUGAAAUGCAAUAGGAACUAAUGUUCAUAUUCUCACAUGUAUCUUACAGGGGGAAAGGAAAUAGAUCAAAAAGUCAUUAAAUAAGGCGGGCUAAGGAGAGUAGUGCUGAAAUAGGAAGAUCUCAGGCCUGAUUCACAGGGUGUCAUGAUGUUCUUAUAGACGCUGGAGGCAGACUGUAGGGGAUCACUAGGAGAUUCCCCAUCAGGGAAUAUGAGCUAAUUAACUAGAAAACUAAGAUGACGGGAAAGCUAACAAGAUUCUUGAUGAGCCAUAAUGGAUCUAGGCUGCUAAGCUGCUCUACCUCUCCAACUCACCCACCUCCACACAAGGGCCAUUUCCCUUAAGAAGGCCCUCUUCCUUUUCAGCUCCAUCAGGAAGACUUUCAUAACUAAGGACCCCCACAAUGCCCUUCCCCACAAACAGCUAUUUGGAGCUUGGCCAGGCCAUGUCCCAC